AUUGAACGCUGGCGGCAUGCUUUACACAUGCAAGUCGAACGGUAACAGGCCGCAAGGUGCUGACGAGUGGCGAACGGGUGAGUAAUGCAUCGGAACGUGCCCAGUCGUGGGGGAUAACUACUCGAAAGAGUAGCUAAUACCGCACACGAUCUAUGGAUGAAAGCGGGGGACCGUAAGGCCUCGCGCGAUUGGAGCGGCCGAUGUCAGAUUAGGUAGUUGGUGGGGUAUAGGCUCACCAAGCCAACGAUCUGUAGCUGGUCUGAGAGGACAACCAGCCACACUGGGACUGAGACACGGCCCAGACUCCUACGGGAGGCGGCGGAGGGGAAAUUUGGACAAGGGGCGCAAGCCUAAUCCAGCAAUGCCGCGUGGAGGAAGAAGGCCUUCGGGUUUUAAACUGCUUUUGUACGGAACGAAACGGCUCUGGUUAAUACCCGGGGCUAAUGACGGUACCGUAAGAAUAAGCACCGGCUAACUACGUG
Molecule: ribosomal RNA, 482 nt
Filed under: uncultured bacterium
Lineage: Bacteria
Description: partial 16S ribosomal RNA
Rfam family: Bacterial small subunit ribosomal RNA
Source: RNAcentral